RNAcentral lists this ribosomal RNA (253 nucleotides) under uncultured Eubacteriales bacterium. RNAcentral's name for it is "uncultured Clostridiales bacterium partial 16S ribosomal RNA". It matches the Rfam family "Bacterial small subunit ribosomal RNA", at positions 524 to 776 of the family's 1533-position model. Lineage: Bacteria; Bacillati; Bacillota; Clostridia; Eubacteriales. The record is from RNAcentral.
UACGUAGGUGGCGAGCGUUAUCCGGAUUUAUUGGGUGUAAAGGGUGCGUAGACGGGAAAUUAAGUUAGUUGUGAAAUCCCUCGGCUUAACUGAGGAACUGCAACUAAAACUGAUUUUCUUGAGUACUGGAGAGGCAGACGGAAUUCCUAGUGUAGCGGUGGAAUGCGUAGAUAUUAGGAGGAACACCAGUGGCGAAGGCGAGUUGCUGGACUGUAACUGACACUGAGGCACGAAAGCGUGGGGAGCAAACAGG